RNAcentral lists this ribosomal RNA (444 nucleotides) under Cytobacillus firmus. RNAcentral describes it as "bacterial SSU rRNA". It matches the Rfam family "Bacterial small subunit ribosomal RNA", at positions 74 to 503 of the family's 1533-position model. The record is from RNAcentral. Lineage: Bacteria; Bacillati; Bacillota; Bacilli; Caryophanales; Bacillaceae.
GGAAGCUUGCUCCCUGAAGUCAGCGGCGGACGGGUGAGUAACACGUGGGCAACCUGCCUGUAAGACUGGGAUAACUCCGGGAAACCGGGGCUAAUACCGGAUAAUUCUUUCCCUCACAUGAGGGAAAGCUGAAAGAUGGUUUCGGCUAUCACUUACAGAUGGGCCCGCGGCGCAUUAGCUAGUUGGUGAGGUAACGGCUCACCAAGGCAACGAUGCGUAGCCGACCUGAGAGGGUGAUCGGCCACACUGGGACUGAGACACGGCCCAGACUCCUACGGGAGGCAGCAGUAGGGAAUCUUCCGCAAUGGACGAAAGUCUGACGGAGCAACGCCGCGUGAGUGAUGAAGGUUUUCGGAUCGUAAAACUCUGUUGUUAGGGAAGAACAAGUACCGGAGUAACUGCCGGUACCUUGACGGUACCUAACCAGAAAGCCACGGCUAACUA